This 1358-nucleotide ribosomal RNA is filed under the name Natrialba sp. SSLVU01. RNAcentral's name for it is "bacterial SSU rRNA". It matches the Rfam family "Archaeal small subunit ribosomal RNA". The record is from RNAcentral. Lineage: Archaea; Methanobacteriati; Methanobacteriota; Halobacteria; Halobacteriales; Natrialbaceae.
UUGUACGAGUUGAGACUCGUAGCAGAUAGCUCAGUAACACGUGGCCAAACUACCCUAUAGAUCCAGACAACCUCGGGAAACUGAGGCUAAUCCGGAAUAGGGCUCUCAUCCUGGAGUGGAGAGAGCCUGAAACGCUCCGGCGCUAUAGGAUGUGGCUGCGGCCGAUUAGGUAGACGGUGGGGUAACGGCCCACCGUGCCAGUAAUCGGUACGGGUUGUGAGAGCAAGAGCCCGGAGACGGUAUCUGAGACAAGAUACCGGGCCCUACGGGGCGCAGCAGGCGCGAAACCUUUACACUGCACGCCAGUGCGAUAAGGGGACUCCAAGUGCGAGGGCAUAUAGUCCUCGCUUUUUGCGACCGUAAGGUGGUCGCGGAAUAAGUGCUGGGCAAGACCGGUGCCAGCCGCCGCGGUAAUACCGGCAGCACGAGUGAUGACCGCUGUUAUUGGGCCUAAAGCGUCCGUAGCUGGCCGCACAAGUCUAUCGGGAAAUCUCUCCGCUUAACGGAGAGGCGUCCGGUGGAAACUGUGUGGCUUGGGACCGGAAGACCAGAGGGGUACGUCUGGGGUAGGAGUGAAAUCCCGUAAUCCUGGACGGACCACCGGUGGCGAAAGCGCCUCUGGAAGACGGAUCCGACGGGUGAGGGACGAAAGCUCGGGGUCACGAACCGGAUUAGAUACCCCGGGUAGUCCGAGCUGUAAACGAUGUCUGCUAGGUGUGACACAGGCUACGAGCCUGUGUUGUGCCGUAGGGAAGCCGUGAAGCAGACCGCCUGGGAAGUACGUCCGCAAGGAUGAAACUUAAAGGAAUUGGCGGGGGAGCACUACAACCGGAGGAGCCUGCGGUUUAAUUGGACUCAACGCCGGACAUCUCACCAGCAUCGACAAUGUGCAGUGACGGUCAGUAUGAUGAGCUUACCUGAGCCAUUGAGAGGAGGUGCAUGGCCGCCGUCAGCUCGUACCGUGAGGCGUCCUGUUAAGUCAGGCAACGAGCGAGACCCGCACCCUUAAUUGCCAGCAGCACCCUUGUGGUGGCUGGGUACAUUAAGAGGACUGCCAGUGCCAAACUGGAGGAAGGAACGGGCAACGGUAGGUCAGUAUGCCCCGAAUGUGCUGGGCGACACGCGGGCUACAAUGGCCAAGACAGUGGGAUGCAACGCCGAAAGGCGACGCUAAUCUCCGAAACUUGGUCGUAGUUCGGAUUGAGGGCUGAAACUCGCCCUCAUGAAGCUGGAUUCGGUAGUAAUCGCGCCUCAGAAGGGCGCGGUGAAUACGUCCCUGCUCCUUGCACACACCGCCCGUCAAAGCACCCGAGUGGGGUCCGGAUGAGGCCCGGUUUCCGGGUCGAAUCUGGGCUCCG